RNAcentral lists this ribosomal RNA (492 nucleotides) under uncultured bacterium. RNAcentral's name for it is "partial 16S ribosomal RNA". It matches the Rfam family "Bacterial small subunit ribosomal RNA", at positions 28 to 507 of the family's 1533-position model. The record is from RNAcentral.
GAUGAACACUAGCUACAGGCUUAACACAUGCAAGUCGAGGGGAAACGACAUCGAAAGCUUGCUUUUGAUGGGCGUCGACCGGCGCACGGGUGAGUAACGCGUAUCCAACCUGCCCAUCACUUGGGAAUAACCUUGCGAAAGUAAGACUAAUACCCAAUGAUAUCCCACGAAGGCAUCGGAAUGGGAUUAAAGAUUUAUCGGUGAUGGAUGGGGAUGCGUCUGAUUAGCUUGUUGGCGGGGUAACGGCCCACCAAGGCAACGAUCAGUAGGGGUUCUGAGAGGAAGGUCCCCCACAUUGGAACUGAGACACGGUCCAAACUCCUACGGGAGGCAGCAGUGAGGAAUAUUGGUCAAUGGGCGAGAGCCUGAACCAGCCAAGUAGCGUGCAGGAAGACGGCCCUAUGGGUUGUAAACUGCUUUUAUAAGGGAAUAAAGUGGGUCACGUGUGACUUUUUGCAUGUACCUUAUGAAUAAGGACCGGCUAAUUCCGUG